RNAcentral lists this ribosomal RNA (201 nucleotides) under uncultured bacterium. RNAcentral's name for it is "partial 16S ribosomal RNA". It matches the Rfam family "Bacterial small subunit ribosomal RNA", at positions 328 to 539 of the family's 1533-position model. The record is from RNAcentral.
ACGCUCGACACCUACGGGAGGCAGCAGUCGGGAAUAUUGCGCAAUGGAGGAAACUCUGACGCAGUGACGCCGCGUGCAGGAAGAAGGUUUUCGGAUUGUAAACUGCUUUAGACAGGGAAGAAAGAAAUGACAGUACCUGUAGAAUAAGCUCCGGCUAACUACGUGCCUGCAGCCGCGGUAAUCUGAGCGGGCUGGCAAGGC